AGAAACAUUGAAGCAUUGAGGCUGACAUGCCCGCUCUUCUUUUGCAUAUUUGCAUAGUCUUUCUUGGGGGGAGCUUCCAUGGAGGGGGCGGCUCUUGCCUGGGGUGGUCGUUUGGGAGCGGCUCCUCAUGCUGUCUAGUGAAGGUUUCUGGGGCUUCCGCCAUGGCGGUGUGCUUUUCUUUUUUGACACUUUUAACUACUUUUGCCUCAUGCCAAUUUGUUCGUGUAUCGUUUUCAUGGGUGCUUCUUGCUGGUGCAGUGUUCGGGUUCCCUCUGGCUGCAUCUCUUUUGUGUUCCUGUGUUCUUGGCUCUGGUGGUCUCGCUGUGACUCCUAUAUGGGC
This 340-nucleotide long non-coding RNA is filed under the name Androctonus crassicauda. The record is from RNAcentral. Lineage: Eukaryota; Metazoa; Arthropoda; Arachnida; Scorpiones; Buthidae.